RNAcentral lists this unclassified non-coding RNA (594 nucleotides) under Zea mays. RNAcentral's name for it is "misc RNA Zm00001eb248830". Lineage: Eukaryota; Viridiplantae; Streptophyta; Magnoliopsida; Poales; Poaceae. The record is from RNAcentral.
CUCAUUUUAGUGUUUUAGAAUGAUUUUUGCUUUCUGAUCGCCUAUUUGUGAUAAUGCAGGGUCCAGUUCUUGAAAGGGUGGGAAUGUGUCCAAGAAGACAAAGGCAUCGACCCGCCAAUUCUUCGCUACAAAUUCAAACAGCACUAGGGUGAGAUCAGUGGGCUUGAGAGUAGCAUCAUCCUUCAAACAAGAUCAAUAUUUUGCCACAACUCAUAAUGAGAUCGAGAUUUCAUUGUACAUGCAUCCACAAGGCAUCUUUUUAUAUUUUUUAACAUGAGUGUACUGAUGCAAUGUCGUUCUGUUUUGUCAUUUUAUUUUUGUUAUAUCUUGGAGAUGUCGAGCUUGAUCAAUAUUUUGCCAUUGAAUUUAUGAGUGGCCUAUAUGUUCACUGUUUGCCCAUUUCUUCAGUUAAGCUGAAUGCAAACCAUCGAGAUGGUCCAGGUCGAGGACCUCCAUGGCACCUACGUUGGUGUGGGUUAUGCCACCUCAUCGUGACUGUCAUCGAUUGGGCCUCCGAGGUAUAUGUUACUUUGUUGUUGCUUGGUGAAUGCUUAUAUAUGUUUUUAUUCGUCUAUGCUGGUGAGGUUAGUUUUA